ACCUAUGUGAUCAGGUUAGCGAGGGGAGGGCAGGCGGCGACGAGCGCUCCCGAUGAGCCGGGAAGCGCCGGCAGAUGUCUCACCUAUAGAGAGCAUUUAACAAGCACAACCAGAGCCAUGAGAGGAACUGAGGAGGUUAAUAAGAGGCCUGCUACACAUUACAGACAGGAUGGCACAAAAAGAGCUGGAGGUUUAACUGGAGCAGGGAACUGGGUUUAUGAGCAACCUGGUGGUUCUCUGGAUGAGACUAGAAGGAAGACGUACACGUGUGGUCAACAUUAUCGGCACCCUCGAUUGUGGUAGUAGUGGGUAGCACUCUCACCUUUCUGUGUGGAGUCUGCAUAUUCUCCUCAUGUCUGCAUGGGUUUCCUCCUGUGCUCCGGUUUCCUCCCACAAUCCAAAGACGUGCAAGUGAGGUGAAUUGGAGAUACUAAAUUAACUGUGUUUGAUAUAACCUUGAACUGAUGUGUGACGAGUAACUACCGUUUCUGUCAUGAAUGUAACCAAAGAGUAUAAA
Trichomycterus rosablanca is the source of this 517-nucleotide long non-coding RNA. RefSeq lists it as uncharacterized. The record is from RefSeq and is a predicted model, not a curated record. The transcript is spliced from 3 exons. Lineage: Eukaryota; Metazoa; Chordata; Actinopteri; Siluriformes; Trichomycteridae.